RNAcentral lists this ribosomal RNA (437 nucleotides) under uncultured bacterium. Its description in RNAcentral is "bacterial SSU rRNA". It matches the Rfam family "Bacterial small subunit ribosomal RNA", at positions 26 to 507 of the family's 1533-position model. The record is from RNAcentral.
CGAGGACGAACGCUGGCGGCAGGCCUAACACAUGCAAGUCGAGCGAACCCUUCGGGGUUAGCGGCGGACGGGUUAGUAACGCGUGGGAAUAUACCCUUUGGUACGGAAUAGCCUCGGGAAACUGAGAGUAAUACCGUAUGUGCCCUUCGGGGGAAAGAUUUAUCGCCAAAGGAUUAGCCCGCGUUGGAUUAGAUAGUUGGUGGGGUAAUGGCCUACCAAGUCUACGAUCCAUAGCUGGUUUGAGAGGAUGAUCAGCAACACUGGGACUGAGACACGGCCCAGACUCCUACGGGAGGCAGCAGUGGGGAAUCUUAGACAAUGGGCGCAAGCCUGAUCUAGCCAUGCCGCGUGGACGAUGAAGGCCUUAGGGUUGUAAAGUCCUUUCAGAUGGGAAGAUAAUGACGGUACCAUCAGAAGAAGCCCCGGCUAACUCCGUG